RNAcentral lists this ribosomal RNA (519 nucleotides) under uncultured Pseudomonadota bacterium. RNAcentral describes it as "bacterial SSU rRNA". It matches the Rfam family "Bacterial small subunit ribosomal RNA", at positions 8 to 522 of the family's 1533-position model. The record is from RNAcentral. Lineage: Bacteria; Pseudomonadati; Pseudomonadota.
AGAGUUUGAUCCUGGCUCAGAACGAACGCUGGCGGCAUGCCUAAUACAUGCAAGUCGCGCGUGAAAGUCCUUCGGGACGAGUAAAGCGGCGCACGGGUGAGUAAUGCAUAGGAACGUGCCCUCCGAUGGGGAAUAACUACGGGAAACUGUAGCUAAUACCGCAUGAUGACGUGAGUCUAAAGCAGCCCUCUAUUUAUAAGGUUGCGUCGGUGGAGCGGCCUAUGUCCCAUUAGCUAGUUGGUAGGGUAAUGGCCUACCAAGGCGACGAUGGGUAGCUGGUCUGAGAGGACGAUCAGCCACACUGGGACUGAGACACGGCCCAGACUCCUACGGGAGGCAGCAGUAGGGAAUUUUGCACAAUGGGCGCAAGCCUGAUGCAGCAAUGCCGCGUGAGUGAAGAAGGCUCUUGGGUUGUAAAGCUCUUUCGGCCAAGAAGAAGGGGUCACUUGCGAACAGCCUGUGAUUUUGACGGUAUUGGAAGAAGAAGCACCUGCUAACUUCGUGCCAGCAGCAGCGGUA